UAGGGAAUCUUCGGCAAUGGGGGCAACCCUGACCGAGCAACGCCGCGUGAGUGAAGAAGGUUUUCGGAUCGUAAAGCUCUGUUGUAAGAGAAGAACGUGUGUGAGAGUGGAAAGUUCACACAGUGACGGUAACUUACCAGAAAGGGACGGCUAACUACGUGCCAGCAGCCGCGGUAAUACGUAGGUCCCGAGCGUUGUCCGGAUUUAUUGGGCGUAAAGCGAGCGCAGGCGGUUUAAUAAGUCUGAAGUUAAAGGCAGUGGCUUAACCAUUGUUCGCUUUGGAAACUGUUAAACUUGAGUGCAGAAGGGGAGAGUGGAAUUCCAUGUGUAGCGGUGAAAUGCGUAGAUAUAUGGAGGAACACCGGUGGCGAAAGCGGCUCUGUGGUCUGUAACUGACGCUGAGGCUCGAAAGCGUGGGGAGCAAACAGG
RNAcentral lists this ribosomal RNA (429 nucleotides) under bacterium. RNAcentral describes it as "partial 16S ribosomal RNA". It matches the Rfam family "Bacterial small subunit ribosomal RNA", at positions 355 to 776 of the family's 1533-position model. The record is from RNAcentral.